Molecule: transfer RNA, 72 nt
Filed under: Camelus bactrianus (Bactrian camel)
Lineage: Eukaryota; Metazoa; Chordata; Mammalia; Artiodactyla; Camelidae
Also listed under: 1 other name
Rfam family: tRNA
About the family: Transfer RNA (tRNA) molecules are approximately 80 nucleotides in length. Their secondary structure includes four short double-helical elements and three loops (D, anti-codon, and T loops).
Source: Rfam by way of RNAcentral
GAAGGUAUAGUUCAGUGGUAGAACGUGUGCUUAGCAUGCCUGAGGUCCUGGGUUCAAUUCUUGGUAACUGCA